GUUAGUCCUAUGUUUAUGAGAUAUAUGUUGAGCAUGUUAUUAUGUGCUACGUGAUGCAUGAAAACUGUUAGAUUUUGCUGGGCUGUCGAGCUCAACCUUGCAAAUAACCAUUUUUGCAGGUUAAGGAUUGAAGGCAACACUAUGUGCUACUUGAAUGACGUGGAUCAGAAAUAAUACACGAAGAUUAAUAUUUUAGCUAAAGUUGUUAUUUCUUUAUACCAUGAUUAA
This 228-nucleotide long non-coding RNA is filed under the name Panax ginseng (ginseng). RNAcentral describes it as "long non-coding RNA (PGIN_LNC006710)". The record is from RNAcentral. Lineage: Eukaryota; Viridiplantae; Streptophyta; Magnoliopsida; Apiales; Araliaceae.